Molecule: ribosomal RNA, 200 nt
Filed under: uncultured bacterium
Lineage: Bacteria
Description: partial 16S ribosomal RNA
Rfam family: Bacterial small subunit ribosomal RNA
Source: RNAcentral
AGAGUUUGAUCCUGGCUCAGGACGAACGCUGGCGGCGUGCCUAAUACAUGCAAGUCGAGCGAGGAACUUCGGUUCCUAGCGGCGGACGGGUGAGUAACACGUAGGCAACCUGCCUGUAAGAUCGGGAUAACAUAGGGAAACUUAUGCUAAUACCGGAUAGUGCAUUUGCUCGCAUGAGUGGAUGCGGAAAGAUGGCGUAA